Molecule: unclassified non-coding RNA, 125 nt
Filed under: Bamboo mosaic virus
Lineage: Riboviria; Orthornavirae; Kitrinoviricota; Alsuviricetes; Tymovirales; Alphaflexiviridae
Description: BAMBOO MOSAIC VIRUS from Bamboo mosaic virus (PDB 5A2T, chain Z)
Source: RNAcentral
UUUUUUUUUUUUUUUUUUUUUUUUUUUUUUUUUUUUUUUUUUUUUUUUUUUUUUUUUUUUUUUUUUUUUUUUUUUUUUUUUUUUUUUUUUUUUUUUUUUUUUUUUUUUUUUUUUUUUUUUUUUUU